GACGAACGCUGGCGGCGUGCUUAACACAUGCAAGUCGAACGGAAAGGCCUGCUUUCCCUUGUGGAUUGCGGGUACUCGAGUGGCGAACGGGUGAGUAACACGUGAGUGAUCUGCCCCCAACUUGGGUAUAAGCCUGGGAAACUGGGUCUAAUUCCCGAUAGGACUGCAGGGUGGUGCCUGUGGUGGAAAACGAUUUUCUAGUGGUUGGGGAUGAGCUCGCGGCCUAUCCGCUUGUUGGUGGGGUAAUGGCCUACCAAGGCGGCGACGGGUAGCCGGCCUGGGAGGGUGGACGGCCACAUUGGGACUGAGAUACGGCCCAGACUCCUACGGGAGGCAGGAGUGGGGAAUAUUGCACAAUGGGCGGAAGCCUGAUGCAGCGACGCCGCGUGGGGGAUGACGGCCUUCGGGUUGUAAACUCCUUUCGACCGCGAGGAAGCCACCUGGUUGGAAGGGUGGUGACGGUAGUGGUAGAAGAAGCACCGGCUAACUACGUG
Molecule: ribosomal RNA, 494 nt
Filed under: uncultured bacterium
Lineage: Bacteria
Description: partial 16S ribosomal RNA
Rfam family: Bacterial small subunit ribosomal RNA
Source: RNAcentral